GGGUUUAAAGAAAAUAUCACUUGAACAAUAAGUGAAGAUAGGGAUACUUGCCUCAGUUCUGCUGAUUUUCACACCGAUUAAUUUCUACCGGACUAUCUCACAGCACAGCUUCGUCUUAAGGAACUAUUCCUGAUUCAAUUCACAAAGCUAUUCAACUACUUCUGAAUGUCCUUGAUAUAAAGUCUCGGUUGAUUCUCCAAGAGUAACACGGUGCUUCAUUGUCGAUGCCGGCGGAUUUCGGUUGAUUCUCCAAGAGUGACACGGUACUUCAGUUGUCGAUGCCGACGGAGUUAACUAAUAUCGAAUAACGUAUCAAAUCCGUAAUUAGCUACCCUUCGUAAAUCCAUAUACAUAGUACAAUUAGAUAAACACAUAGCACAUAGUUGAACAAUUAACUUUUAUAGCUAUUAAAAGUCAAUAUUGAUAAAUUAACAAAUAACAUGUUUCAAUCAACCAUGUUACCUUAUUCUUAACUAUUUAAUAUCCUUCAACAAGUAAAACAUAUAUAUAUCCUAUCGAAAAUUCGGCAGCAUCUCCUCUAUUUACCGGACUAUCCACCUGUUUUAAUUUAAUACCAACAACCAAUUAAACAAGUUCCUAACCCAAUAACUCAACAUCUGCUAACUAAUAAUAAACUGAACUCAAUUACAACUUAAUAAUUCGUAUAUCACUUUAUACUAUAAGGAAUGAAGUUUCCAAUCAUAUAUACAGAUAUACUUCAAGAUACUCAAAGUAUAUUUAUAUAUAUAACUAGGAACUUAAAUUCCUUAAUCCUCGUAUAAUCAAUACUCAAAGUAACUUUCCAGAAAACUUAUCCAUAAAAUAUUCGGGAUUCUUAAUUUACUAUAUUUCAAGCAUUACAUAAAGACACCAAAUAAUUUAUUAAAACAAUCAGAAUACUAAAUCUUUUGAAUUUAUACACAUAUAAAUCAAGUAAUUUAACAACUGUUGACCAACAACCACUCGUAUACAUUUAUACUAUAAUUAAUCACAACUCAACUCAUAGAUUUGAACUUGUGAAAGUAAUUCUCUUUGUGACCUCAAAACAGAAUUUUCACAAAUCUGUGCUACUGAUAAUCAAACAUUUUUAAUAAAUCGGAAAUACAUGAUUUUUACUUGAAAUUUUUAUGAGACCUCCCUAAACAUUAAUCCAAUCUACUAUAAAAAUUUCAGAACCAAAUUCCAUGUUUAAGGGACUAAAACAGAGCCUGCAAGUUAAGAACCUGAAUCUGUCCUGCAGAACCAGCCCCACGCUAAGAAUUUUAAUAAAUAGAAAAAUUGGUCUGUUUGUAUAAAAUUUUAAUAACAUAUUCCAGAUACUAACAUCCAACUCCAAUAAAAAUUUCAGAGGCAAAGCUCGAUUCUAAGGUAGCAAAACAGGGCGUGGAAUAGGACACACCUGCCCAGAAUUUUCUGCUCAAUUCACACUAAAACAUACAUAUCUUUUAGCUCAUUUAUUAAAUUAAUCUAAUUCUUUCGCGAGUAGAAAAUAGACUUCAAGGAGCACAUAACCAUACAAAGAUUAAGCAUAUAACUCGACCCUAUGAGCCCAGAAUUUGUAUCGCAAUAACAGACCUGCAGUAGUCUAGAAAUUCAACUUUGAUCACAUAUAGUUUUAAAACUUUAAUCCACUAUUUAAACUCUUAAAUUAUCCUUCCAAAAACAUGUAAACAAUCAUCAUACUUGUACAUAUGUUCUUACAUCAACAAGUUUGAUACCCGGUCAUAUACUCUUGUUAAUUCAAGUACCCCACAAUGUCCAAAGUUAAGACUCCAAUUAAACUCCCUAAUUCAUAUAAGCAUAUAUACACAAACAUAUAAACAAUUAUACACUCCGAGUCAUGCCAACACUACCCAAUUUACAUAACCCAGCACAACAUAAGGGAGUUAUGCUUAUAUACAUACACAUACAUACGUAAUUGAAAGAGGUAGUGGUCUGAUUUGUACCUAAAUUCGAACGAAUAUGGAACACGAUGAACUUCUAAUUAGGAAGUGAAAGCGAUUAUGAGAGAGCCCCAGGGGAAGGAGCACGGCUUCGAGUAGAAGGAGAAACGGAGGAGAGCGGCGCUGCUGCUGAGAGAAGAGAGACGUAGGAUAAGUGAUUAUAUGGAUGAAGAGAUUGAGAGGGUGUGUAAGGAUGUAGCGGUGGAGAGGGAAGAAGUGAGGGGGGAAGAGGCGGUGAGGUCGAGAGAUUAACAGAGGGAAGGUUUUGAAAUUGGGGAAAAGGAGGUGACUGCAGGAGGUGUAUUACG
This 2251-nucleotide long non-coding RNA is filed under the name Daucus carota (carrot). Its description in RNAcentral is "long non-coding RNA (DCAR_LNC004403)". Lineage: Eukaryota; Viridiplantae; Streptophyta; Magnoliopsida; Apiales; Apiaceae. The record is from RNAcentral.